Molecule: ribosomal RNA, 774 nt
Filed under: uncultured Neocallimastigales
Lineage: Eukaryota; Fungi; Neocallimastigomycota; Neocallimastigomycetes; Neocallimastigales
Description: partial large subunit ribosomal RNA
Rfam family: Eukaryotic large subunit ribosomal RNA
Source: RNAcentral
UACGACUACAUAUCAGGCAUAUCAAUAAGCGGAGGAAAAGGAACUAACUAGGAUUCCCUCAGUAACGGCGAGUGAAGCGGGAAGAGCUCGAAUUUGAAAUCUUCAAGGUUUUACCUUGACGAAUUGUAGUUUAAAGAAGUGUUUUCUGUUGGUGUUUUGGUAAAAGUUCUUUGGAGUAGGACAUCAUAGAGGGUGAGAAUCCCGUAUUUGACCAUUUCUUCCAGCUGUGUGAUACACUUUCAAAGAGUCGGAUUGUUUGGGAAUGCAGUCCAAAAUGGGUGGUAAAUUUCAUCUAAAGCUAAAUAUUGGCGAGAGACCGAUAGCGAACAAGUACCGUGAGGGAAAGAUGAAAAGAACUUUGAAAAGAGAGUUAAACAGUACGUGAAAUUGUCAAAAGGGAAGCGUUUGACACCAGUGUUGUUUUCUCGAAAAUCAAUUAAAAAGUAUGGGAUUUUGUAUUGUUAAGACCUUAUCAGCUUACGGUACUUUUUUCUUAUUCUUUUUAAUGCACUUUUCGUUUAACAAGUCAACAUCAAUUUCUUUUGUUGUAAAAGAGUCAUUGGAGGGUGGCUUUCACUUCGGUGAAAGUGUUUAUAGCCUUUGGCUUCUGCAAUCGGAGAGAUUGAGGUCUGCAGCGUAGAUCCUUCGGGGUUAGAUACGUAGAUGCUAAGUUAUAGUUUUUCAUAGACAACUUGUUGACUAUGAUUAAUCAUGUAGCUUACUCGUUUGCGCUAUUUUACCUACGCUUAGGAUGUUGAAUCUGUGCGAGACUAC